Molecule: non-coding RNA, 178 nt
Filed under: bacterium DOLJORAL78_65_58
Lineage: Bacteria
Also listed under: 1 other name
Description: 6S RNA
Rfam family: 6S / SsrS RNA
About the family: E. coli 6S RNA was the first non coding RNA to be sequenced, but its function was unknown until recently. It consists of 184 nucleotides that fold into an extended hairpin structure with a large single-stranded internal bulge. The 6S RNA specifically associates with RNA polymerase holoenzyme containing the sigma70 specificity factor.
Source: RNAcentral
GAUUCCCUGCCCGGCGCGUGAUGUGUCGUACAAGUGAGCCAACACUUCUAUCAUGGGAGUCCGGCGUUUUUGCCUGAAAGUCACGCCCCUCCGGGGAAGGCUGGACGGUAAGACAGGGCACCCACUUGGAGCAACUCGGUUCAGUUGCUUCCGACUCACACGACCGGGCGGGGUGUUU